AACCGUUGGCCCGCAGCAGGGGUAAUACAGAGACCUCAAUCGUGAUCCGGAAGCAUUGGGCGUAAAGCUGACCGAUAGGUGGUUAUGCAAGUCAGAUGUGAAAUCUCCGAGCUCAACUCGGAAUCUGUCAUUUGAAACUGCACAACUAGAGGGGCAAAGAGGAAGCUAGAACGAACGGUGUAGUAGUGAAAUGCGUUGAUAUCGUUCGGAAUACCGAUAGCGAAGGCAGGCUUCUGGGUGCCACCUGACACUGCUAGGACGAAAGCGUGGGGAGCGAAUGGGAUUAGAUACCCCGGUAGUC
This 301-nucleotide ribosomal RNA is filed under the name uncultured bacterium. Its description in RNAcentral is "bacterial SSU rRNA". It matches the Rfam family "Bacterial small subunit ribosomal RNA", at positions 498 to 795 of the family's 1533-position model. The record is from RNAcentral.